Molecule: ribosomal RNA, 253 nt
Filed under: uncultured bacterium
Lineage: Bacteria
Description: partial 16S ribosomal RNA
Rfam family: Bacterial small subunit ribosomal RNA
Source: RNAcentral
UACGUAGGGGGCAAGCGUUGUCCGGAAUCAUUGGGCGUAAAGCGCGUGUAGGCGGCCCGGUAAGUCCGCUGUGAAAGUCGGGGGCUCAACCCCGGGAGGCGGGUGGAUACUGUCAAGCUCGAGUCCGGAAGAGGCGAGUGGAAUUCCUGGUGUAGCGGUGAAAUGCGCAGAUAUCAGGAGGAACACCAAUGGCGAAGGCAGCUCGCUGGGACGUGACUGACGCUGAGACGCGAAAGCGUGGGGAGCAAACAGG